Molecule: ribosomal RNA, 253 nt
Filed under: uncultured bacterium
Lineage: Bacteria
Description: partial 16S ribosomal RNA
Rfam family: Bacterial small subunit ribosomal RNA
Source: RNAcentral
UACGGAGGGUGCAAGCGUUGUCCGGAUUUAUUGGGUUUAAAGGGUGCGUAGGCGGCUUAGUAAGUCCGUGGUGAAAGCCAACAGCUCAACUGUUGAACUGCCAUGGAUACUGCUAGGCUUGAGUACAGACGAGGUAGGCGGAAUGGAUAGUGUAGCGGUGAAAUGCAUAGAUACUAUCCAGAACUCCGAUUGCGUAGGCAGCUUACUAGGCUGUAACUGACGCUGAGGCACGAAAGCGUGGGGAUCGAACAGG